UUCCGGUUGAUCCCGCCGGAGGCCACUGCUAUCGGGGUUCGAUUAAGCCAUGCGAGUCGAGAGGUGCAAGACCUCGGCGCACUGCUCAGUAACACGUGGAUAACCUACCCUCAGGUGGGGGAUAACCCCGGGAAACUGGGGAUAAUACCCCAUAGACCAGGGACGCUGGAAUGCCCCCUGAUCGAAAGGUCCGCCGCCUGAGGAUGGGUCUGCGGCCGAUUAGGUUGUUGUUGGGGUAACGGCCCAACAAGCCUUUGAUCGGUACGGGUUGUGAGAGCAAGAGCCCGGAGAUGGAUUCUGAGACACAAAUCCAGGCCCUACGGGGCGCAGCAGGCGCGAAAACUUUACAAUGCGAGAAAUCGUGAUAAGGGAACCCCGAGUGCCCGUAAAUUCGGGCUGUCCAUCAGCGUAAAAAACUGGUGAAGAAAGGGCCGGGCAAGACCGGUGCCAGCCGCCGCGGUAAUACCGGCGGCUCGAGUGGUGGCCACUAUUACUGGGCUUAAAGCGUCCGUAGCUGGAUUGUUAAGUCUCUUGGGAAAUCCGCCGGCUUAACCGGCGGGCGUUCAGGAGAAACUGGCAAUCUAGGGACCGGGAGAGGUGAGAGGUACUCCAGGGGUAGGAGUGAAAUCCUGUAAUCCUUGGGGGGACCACCUGUGGCGAAGGCGUCUCACUAGAACGGCUCCGACAGUGAGGGACGAAAGCUGGGGGGAGCAAACCGGAUUAGAUACCCGGGUAGUCCCAGCUGUAAACGAUGCGCGUUAGGUGUAUCGGUGACCACGAGUCAUCGAGGUGCCGAAUGGAAACCGUGAAACGUGCCGCCUGGGAAGUACGGUCGCAAGGCUGAAACUUAAAGGAAUUGGCGGGGGAGCACA
Molecule: ribosomal RNA, 872 nt
Filed under: uncultured archaeon
Lineage: Archaea
Description: bacterial SSU rRNA
Rfam family: Archaeal small subunit ribosomal RNA
Source: RNAcentral